AUACGGAGGGUGCAAGCGUUAUUCGGAAUCACUGGGCGUAAAGGACGCGUAGGCGGGUUGGCAAGUCAGAUGUGAAAUCCUACAGCUUAACUGUAGAACUGCAUUUGAAACUGCUAACCUAGAGUAUGGGAGGGGGAGAUGGAAUUAGGGGUGUAGGGGUAAAAUCCGUAGAUAUCACUAGGAAUACCGAAAGCGAAGGCGAUCUCCUGGAACAUAACUGACGCUAAGGCGUGAAAGCGUGGGGAGCAAACAGGAUUAGAUACCCUAGUAGUCC
Molecule: ribosomal RNA, 274 nt
Filed under: uncultured bacterium
Lineage: Bacteria
Description: partial 16S ribosomal RNA
Rfam family: Bacterial small subunit ribosomal RNA
Source: RNAcentral